Non-coding RNA from Ascaris lumbricoides (common roundworm), 72 nucleotides. Lineage: Eukaryota; Metazoa; Nematoda; Chromadorea; Rhabditida; Ascarididae. The record is from Rfam.
GGGGAUAUAGCUCAGCGGUAGAGCGCUCCCUUAGCAUGGGAGAGAGCUGGGGUUCAAGUCCCCAUAUCUACA